GCGUAGGCCCCCACCUAUCGUGGGGUCCUGCUGCGGCCCCAUUGCUUCGGGAGCUGCGGGUUGGCUCCGGUCUGGAUGCGGGGUCCGAGGCAGGGUUCCAAUCUGGCUUGAAGGGAUGUCGGUGGCCUUUGUACCGGACUGGCUGAGAGGCAAGGCGGAAGUCAAUCAGGAGACCAUCCAGCGGCUCCUGGAGGAGAAUGACCAGCUGAUCCGCUGUAUCGUGGAGUAUCAGAAUAAGGGCCGGGCGAAUGAGUGUGUCCAGUACCAGCAUGUAUUACAUAGAAACCUCAUUUAUUUGGCCACCAUCGCAGAUGCCAACCCAACCAGUGCUUCAAAAACAAUGGAAUAAUCUUCCAGUUGACUGUUGUGAGAAGUAAUUGAAUGUAAUCCAUUUCCUAUGAAACGGAGACAGGAUCUUUACCAACUCAACUGCUUAAAACAUGAAUGAAACCUCUAUGGCCCUUUUUAAAAUGUGAAAAUGCAUGUCUGGAUAACAAAGACAUCAUGAGCUCUUCAAGUCUACCUUUUUACUUUCAACCUGAAGAGGAAACUGAGCAGAUGUUGGGCAAUUGGCAGGAAUUGGCAAGACUCCCGACUGAGACCCUGCCAAAUGGAUAUGCUGCUCCCUCCUACCAGUUUAUAGCCAUGGACUCCCUGACUGCUCUUUUCAGGUUGCUUUGAAAUAAAGCUUGCCUUUGCACAAGAGAAUGAUAGUGAGGUAUAGAAAUUUUCAUGUAGUAAUUAUUCCAUUUGGUUUUCCAGAAAAACUGUAAGGACUUAAAAAUAUAUGUAACAAUACCAUUAUCAUUGCUAACAAAAUUAA
This is an RNA transcript of Equus caballus (horse), 823 nucleotides long. It is a transcript of the gene named SS18 like 2, with no coding region annotated. The record is from RefSeq and is a predicted model, not a curated record. Lineage: Eukaryota; Metazoa; Chordata; Mammalia; Perissodactyla; Equidae.